UUUGCACACUCAUCAGACCACUUCUGAAGCCUUAAGACUCUCCCAAAGCCUUAACAUACAAUCUCUGAAGAUCUUGCCAUGUCUUUGCACAAGCACCAACUCAACUCAUCACUUUUGCUUCUCCACUUCUUCUCUUCAAGUUAACACUCCCCCUCAAGCUUGACUCUAGCUGAUCCUAAGUCAAGCUUGGAACCUUGAAGAACUUCCUCAUUAAAAACCUCACCAAGGAAAACCCUUUGGGACAAAACCUUGAUGAGGGAAAAAGAGUAAAGUCUCCAAGACCUAGGGAUUGGCCAGUGAGUCUUUGUGCCUUACCAACAAUGUAAGGGACACAAAGACUCUGGAUCAUGGCCUCUACAAUCAUCCCACGCCUUGUACUCUCCUUACUGCCUAAUCUUGGUCUCUCCCCCUUUCACCUAACCUCUUGUUAGGUUGAAGUGCUCGGACACACCAGAUCAGCCUCUUCUUGGAGAUACAACUUCUCUUACUGAGUCUUGGCUGCUUCUUCUUCUUAUAGAGUCGCCACCUUGUUGCUUGAGCUACAUGAGGAUGCUUCAGCCACUCUCCAGUCACCUCAACACUUGAAGCCGCCUUGGAUAUUGCUUCUUCAUCCUUCAUCAUACUUCUCAACAGGUUGCUUCCUCUUCUAGAAUAACCACCAAGCUCUCUUGGAUCAUGUAAGCUUCAACACUCCCCCUCAAGCUUGAGACUCUCACAGGAACAAGCUUGAAUGGAUUGCUUCAUGAUCCUCACACACACACCAUGGCCGCUUCUCUUCUGAUCUUGCCAUCUUCAUGGAAUGCUUGUGGAAGCUUCAGCUAUCUCUCCAAUCACUUCACACUAGAAGCCGCCUUGAUAGAGUUGCCUUCAUCUUCUCACAGCCAAGAGUACUCUGUCUUAGUUUGAGUACUCUCUUGAAUAGACUCGCCACAGCCUAAGCCCGGAUGGCUCCUUCUUCAGAUGGUUGCAAUGGACUUCUUGGAUCGCUUGGAAGCUCACUAAACUCCCCUCCUCAAGCUUGGAUUGAGUAUAGGUCCAAGCUUGCAAGUGAGCUUCAGUGAGACUUCACACCAGUGGCGCAUCACCACUUCUUUCUCAACUCUCCAUUGCUCCACACAAUGGGCAAAGUCUUCCUCUUCCAACUCGGAUGGAUGGUGAACCAAGAACACCUCUUGUGAACCUGAAACAUCACUCAAACUCCAGCAAAGAUAAGACACAAGUGCAUUGGGUCAACCCUUGAUGCAUCAUCAAGUUUGAACACCAAUGUCUUUAAG
This 1274-nucleotide long non-coding RNA is filed under the name Brassica napus (rape). Its description in RNAcentral is "long non-coding RNA (BNAP_LNC015223)". The record is from RNAcentral. Lineage: Eukaryota; Viridiplantae; Streptophyta; Magnoliopsida; Brassicales; Brassicaceae.